AUAACUCUUCCUGAGCAGCUCCGGAUCAGAAAUGGGUUAUAGAGAGUCCCUGAAGAGUGAUGUGGAGCUGUUCUGCAUGGAUAGAAACUUUAGGGAAGAGUGAGCUUCAGCAGAACCAAGCAAUGGAAGUGCUGCGAAUACAGGAAAUCCCCAUGUCUGGGAUGUGGCACAGCUGCCCAGUGAGGUGGUGGGGUCACUGCCCCUGGAGAUAGUCCUGGAGAGCCAUGGAGGAGCAUGGUAAGUGGGCAUGUUGGGCUGCGAUUGGACUUGGGGAUCUUGGAGGACUUUUCCAACCUUAACGACUCUAUGAUUCUAUAAAUGAGGCUGCAUCUACCAUUGCUGGUUACUCCUGAGCUCUCUCAUCCCAGGGAGAAGGAGGGCGAAAUUCAGAGACUUGGAUGAGAAAUGUGAACACAUUACUGUUUGCUUUCGAGCUCUAGAUUCCUAAUUAAAAAAAAAAAAAAAAAAGAUACAUAUUUCAUGACUGCGUUUGCCUAAAA
Molecule: long non-coding RNA, 500 nt
Filed under: Gallus gallus (chicken)
Lineage: Eukaryota; Metazoa; Chordata; Aves; Galliformes; Phasianidae
Description: lncRNA (ENSGALG00010025187.1)
Source: RNAcentral